GUGAGGAAUAUUGCACAAUGGACGCAAGUCUGAUGCAGCAACGCCGCGUGGGCGAUGAAGGCCUUCGGGUUGUAAAGCCCUUUUCUGAGGGACGAGGAAGGACGGUACCUCAGGAAUAAGUCACGGCUAACUACGUGCCAGCAGCCGCGGUAAUACGUAGGUGGCCAGCGUUAUCCGGAUUCACUGGGCGUAAAGCGCGUGUAGGUGGUUUCGUAAGUCGGGCGUGAAAGCUCCUGGCUUAACUAGGAGAGGUCGUUCGAUACUGCGGGACUUGAGGUCGGGAGAGGGACGUGGAAUUCCCGGUGUAGUGGUGGAAUGCGUAGAUAUCGGGAGGAACACCUGUGGCGAAGGCGACGUCCUGGCCCGCACCUGACACUGAGACGCGAAAGCGUGGGGAGCGAACGGGAUUAGAAACCCUAGUAGUCC
This 426-nucleotide ribosomal RNA is filed under the name uncultured bacterium. Its description in RNAcentral is "bacterial SSU rRNA". It matches the Rfam family "Bacterial small subunit ribosomal RNA", at positions 354 to 796 of the family's 1533-position model. The record is from RNAcentral.